RNAcentral lists this long non-coding RNA (1394 nucleotides) under Anser brachyrhynchus (Pink-footed goose). RNAcentral's name for it is "lncRNA (ENSABRG00000005306.1)". The record is from RNAcentral. Lineage: Eukaryota; Metazoa; Chordata; Aves; Anseriformes; Anatidae.
AUGACUCAACAAAACAGAAUCACGAAAUUAAUGAAAAGUCACAAGAGGAAAAGAAAUCUUCAAAGUAACAUCAGAAAAAAAGACAGAAGAUUAGACUGCUUAAGCAGAAACAUUCUACAAGUCAAAGGAAGUUAUUAUGCCACUCUGUUUGGCACCUGUGAAACUACAUCUGAAUUAUGGCACAUCCACUUUUGCCACCCCUUAUGCAACAGAGAUACUGAUGAACUGGAGACAGUCCACUGGAGGACCACCAAGAUGGUUAAGGAUGGAGAAUGUGGCAGAUGAGGUUAAACUAGUGAGCUGAAUUUGUGUAGCAACAGGAAUAGGCUGCAAAGUGAGAACUAAUUUCUGUCUUAAACGACCUAAUUGGCAUUUAUAGAGAAGACAAAAAGAGACUCUUUCCAGAGAUGCACAACAUACUGACAAGGAACAACAGAUACAGCUUGCUACAAUGGAAAUUCCAGAUAUAUGUAGAGAACAAUUCAUGCUCUAAGGGUGAUCAAACACUGAAACAGCUUAUCUGGAGAGGCUGUGGAACCUCCACCCUUUCAGACUUUCAGGCCUUACACUGAGGAACCCUGGAGUAACCUCAUCUGAAUUUGAAGCAACCCUCCUUUGAAGAUAUCAGAGUAGACGACCUUCAGAGGUCCCUUGCAACCUAAAUUAUUCCGCGAUUCUACGUUCUUCAGCCAGAGUCACUUUUGUGCUUUUUCCCAGGACCCUUCCUAAUUUUUUGACAUUGUUAAAAUCUAUGGACAAGACCAUAACCUGUAGUGAUACAGAUUUCAUAUCAUCAGUACGACAAGAGGAGUUUAAUGGAGUAAAGUAAGUGACUUCCUUAAUCUUGCUCUAUAUUCAACAGAAUUUCAGUCCCUUUACAUUAAUCCUACCCUUGGGGCUUUGGUACAACUUUUUGGUCUAUGAUCCCUACUUAAUCCCAGGGUCCAGAUUCUUCUUAAGCAUGUAUGUACAUUUAGAAACUAUCCAUUAAAGUACAAUUUCAGAUUUUGCUGUGCAACAGUAGACUGAACAGGUCCCACUGAACAAGCAAUCCAGGUGAUUCCAUUCUUUUUUACCAUAUACAAAUUAACAGAACUUCUUUACAGUACCCUUCAUAAAGAAGCUUGACUUGGAACAUGCUUCCUUCAGUAACACUGUUGUCAGUCCCCCACCCCUUCAAGCUUUUAAAAAGGUAUUCAAUUUACAUGGUACAGGUGCUUUUUUGUUCUCCCUAAGAAGGCUGUACCAAGGCAUAACUGCAUUACACAUAGCGAGUGUUUAUGCCAAACAACUGUGUUCUAAAACAAAUGUAGUAUUAUUCUAGAUAUAAUUUUACUUCCAUAUUUAGUAUUUUUCUAAAUAAAAAAAAUAUUUCCAUUAAACUUUUUUUGGCA